GACGAACGCUGGCGGCGUGCUUAAUACAUGCAAGUCGAACGGAAAGGCCCUGCUCUUGUGGGGUGCUCGAGUGGCGAACGGGUGAGUAACACGCGAGUAACCUGCCCUUGACUUUGGGAUAACAUCAGGAAACUGGGGCUAAUACCGGAUAGGAGCUCCUGCUGCAUGGUGGGGGUUGGAAAGUUUCGGCGUUUCGGGAUGGAGUCAGGGCUUAUCAGCUUGUUGGUGGGGUAGUGGCUUACCAAGGCUUUGACGGGUAGCCGACCUGAGAGGGUGACCGGCCCCAUAGGGCAAGGGAAGCGGCCAGGAGGACAUCGGGGGGAAGGAGGGGGGAAUUGGCGGAAAAGGGCGGAGGCGUGAAGAAGCGACCCCGGGUGCGAAAAGACGGUCUUGGGGUAGAAACCCGCUUUUACUUGAAAAGAAACGUAGUGACGGUAAAUAGUCAGAAAGGCACGGCUAACUACGUG
This 467-nucleotide ribosomal RNA is filed under the name uncultured bacterium. Its description in RNAcentral is "partial 16S ribosomal RNA". It matches the Rfam family "Bacterial small subunit ribosomal RNA", at positions 28 to 507 of the family's 1533-position model. The record is from RNAcentral.